RNAcentral lists this non-coding RNA (22 nucleotides) under Arabidopsis thaliana (thale cress). The record is from RNAcentral. Lineage: Eukaryota; Viridiplantae; Streptophyta; Magnoliopsida; Brassicales; Brassicaceae.
UCGGACCGCCUUGAAUUAUAAU